GAUGAACGCUGGCGGCGUGCCUAAUACAUGCAAGUCGAGCGAAUGGAUUGAGAGCUUGCUCUCAAGAAGUUAGCGGCGGACGGGUGAGUAACACGUGGGUAACCUGCCCAUAAGACUGGGAUAACUCCGGGAAACCGGGGCUAAUACCGGAUAACAUUUUGAACUGCAUGGUUCGAAAUUGAAAGGCGGCUUCGGCUGUCACUUAUGGAUGGACCCGCGUCGCAUUAGCUAGUUGGGGGGGUAACGGCUCACCAAGGCAACGAUGCGUAGCCGAACUGGGAGGGCGAUCGGCCACAGUGGGACUGCGACACGGCCCAGACUCCUACGGGAUGCAGCAGUAGGGAAUCUUCCGCAAUGGACGAAAGCCUGACGGAGCAACGCCGCGUGAGUGAUGAAGGCUUUCGGGUCGUAAAACUCUGUUGUUAGGGAAGAACAAGUGCUAGUUGAAUAAGCUGGCACCUUGACGGUACCUAACCAGAAAGCCACGGCUAACUACGUGCCAGCCGCCGCGGUAA
Molecule: ribosomal RNA, 515 nt
Filed under: uncultured bacterium
Lineage: Bacteria
Description: partial 16S ribosomal RNA
Rfam family: Bacterial small subunit ribosomal RNA
Source: RNAcentral